Molecule: long non-coding RNA, 2738 nt
Organism: Neofelis nebulosa (Clouded leopard)
Lineage: Eukaryota; Metazoa; Chordata; Mammalia; Carnivora; Felidae
Exons: 2
Source: RefSeq, a predicted model, not a curated record
CUCAAUCUCAUGACCCUGGGAUCAUGACCUGAGAGAAAAUCAAGAGUCUGAUGCUCAACUGAGCCACCCAGGUGCCUCAAUGUGCAACAAAAUUAUAUACUACAACCAAAAAGGUUGUUUAUUCCAGGUAUGCAAGGCUGGUUUGUAUUUGAAGAUCAAUCAAUGCAACCCAUCAUAUUAACAGGCUAAAGAAGAAAAUCCACAUGAUCAUAUCAAUAGAUGCAGAAAAGGCAUUUGACAAAAAUUCAAUACCCAUUCAUGAAAACUUUCAAGAAAUAGAAAUGGAAACUUCUCAACCUGAUAAAGAGCACCUACAAAAGGAAUCCUACAAGCAACAUUAUACUUAAUGGUGAAAAACUAAAUGCUUUCUCCCUGAGAUUAGGAAAAAGGUAAGAAUGCUCACUCUUACCACUUUCAGCAUAGUACUAGAAAUCCUCGCCAGCACAAUAAGGCAGGAAAAAGAAAGAAAAGACAUACAGAUUGGAAAGAAAGAAAUAAAAUUGUCUUGAUUUGCAGACAACAUGAUUGUCUAUCAUGUAGACAAACCCAAGGAAUCAGUGGGGAGUGGGGAAAAAGCCCACAAAACCUCCAAAGGAAACAAAACAAAUCUCAGAACAAAUAAGUUCAGCACGGCAUCAGAUUACAAAAUGAACACACAUAAAAUUCUAUACACUAACAAGGAAGAUGUGGAAAUUGAAAUUAAAACCACAAUACUAUUUACAACAGCCCCUCAGAAAAUGAAAUACUUAUUUAUAUCUAAAUAUAAAUCUAACAAAGCAUGUACAGGAUCUGUAUGCUAAACGUGAUGAUGUAGAUGAAAGAAAUCAAAGAAGGUAAGUUUCCUUUAUUAUUCAUUUACUGAAACUCAACAUGGUGAAGAUGUUAGUUCUCUUCCAGUUGAUCUACAGGCUUAAUGAAAUUCCUGUCAAAAGCCUAGCAAGAGUUUUUAUAGAUUAGAGAAGCUUAUUUUAAAAUUUAUUUGUCGGGGCAAAGGACCUAGAACAGCUAAAACGGUCUAGAAAGGAGGAGUAACUUGGGAAGAAUCACUCCCAAGUUAAGUUUACUAUAUAGCUGCAGAAAUCAGGACAGUAUGGCACUGGCAGACAGACACACAGAUCAAUGGCAUAGAAUAGAGGACCCAGAAUUAGACCUAGACAUACGCCCAGCUGAUUUUUUUCAAAGUUGCAAAAGCAAUUCAAUGAAGAAAGGAUAGCUUUUGCAAAAAAUGGUGCCAGUACAACUGGGCAUACAUAGGCAAAAAAUAAAUAGAAUCAAAUAAGGUAAGAAAUAAAAAUGUGACUUAAUCUUCACAGAAUUAGCUAAAACUAGGACCAAGAUUUAAAUGUAAACCUAAAACCACAAAGCUUUUAGGUAGAACAUAGAAAAUCUUCAAGAUUUAGGAUGAAGUAAAGAUUCCUUAGAUUUGACACCAAUGGCACAAUCCCAAAAAAAGGAAAAAAUGAUAAACUGGACGUCACCAAAAUUAAAUAUUUUUGCGCUGUGAAGACUUUGUUUAAAAGACGAAAAGAUAAGGCGCACCUGGGUGGCUCAUUCGAUUAAGGGUACAACUUUGGCUCAGGUCAUGAUCUCGCGGUUUAUGGGUUUGAGCCCUGCGUCAGGCUCUGAGCUGACAGCUUGGAGCCUGGAGCCUGCUUCGGAUUCUGUGUCUCCCUCUCUCUCUGCCCCUCCCCUGCUUGCACUCUGUCUCUCUCUUUAUCUCUCGCUAAAAAAUAAAUAUUAAAAAAAAUUUUUUUAAAGAUGAAAAUAUAAGCCACAGAUCAGAGAAAAUAUUCAUAAAUCACCUAUCUGGCAAAGGGCUUCUCUCUAGAAUAUACAAAGAUCACUCAAAAUUCAACAGUAAAGUUCAAGAAACAAUGCAAUCAGAAAAUGGGCAAAAAAACAUGUUGAGACACUAUUGAAACACAAAGGACAAGCAAUGACAGAAGAAGGUGUUCAAUAUCAUUAGCCAUUAGGUAAAUGGAAGCUAAAUCCACAAAUAAUAAACUCACAUACCAUACAAUGCAGAAAUUGCACCCUUGGGCAUUUAUUCCAGAGAAAUGAAAACUUAUGCUCAUGUGGAAGCCUGCACACAAAUGGUCGUAUCAUUCAUAAUAGCUAAAACCUGGAAAGAACCCAGAUGUCCUCCAAUGGGUAGUACACACCUACCAUAGAACAUUACUCCAUAGUAAGGAGGAAUGAACUCUUGACAUGGGCAACAAGUUGGAUGAUCUCAAGGGAAUUAUACCCUGUGCAAGAAGCAAUUUCAAAAGAUUACAUACUGUACGAUUCCACUUAUGUAAUAUUCUUGAAAUGUUGUAAUUAUAGAGAUGGAAAACAGAUUAGUGAUUGCCAGGGUUAGUGCUUGUGGGGAGAGCGUAGGCAUGGCUACAAGAGGGCCACACGGUGGGUCAGCUCUGAAUCUUCAUUGGGGAGGUGGUUGUGCAAAGCUCCGUGGUACAACAUUGCCUAGAACAAUUGCCUAUAGAUACUCGCACAUGCACACACACACACACACACACACACACACGAGCACAUGUCUACUGGAGAAAUCUGGAUAAGCUCUGUGGAUUGUAGCAAUGUCCAUUUCAUGGUGCUGUUACCGUACUGUGGUUCCAUAAAUGCUAACAUUGGGGAAGGGGGGGGUAUAGGGUUCUCGAGACCUGUCUGUACAUUUUUUGUGUAACUUCUUGUGGAUCUAUAAUUAUUUCAAAAUGCAAAAGUAAAAUACUUAAAUCAGA